Callithrix jacchus (white-tufted-ear marmoset) is the source of this 91-nucleotide small nucleolar RNA. NCBI's taxonomy places the organism in Eukaryota, Metazoa, Chordata, Mammalia, Primates, Cebidae. The record is from Ensembl.
ACCCUUUUGUAGUUCAUAGCAUGAUGCCUGGGUUUUCAUGUUCAUGUGUGAGAUGUGCCCCUUCAAACUUUUUCAUGAUAUCUGGUGGAUU